GUGGAAGAGAGUAUGAAAUUCGGCUUCUCAAAAAGAUUGGAAGGCUUCACAAACUUAUUUGCCAGACCCCCCCAAACGACCUCCCUCACAUUAUCAGACCUGUUUUAAGAAAAGGGAAAGUAAUACGUUAACCUAAUUUUGAAUACAUCAAAAAUUUACAAAUAAUAGGUAUAGACAACAUCAAUGUUCCAUUUACGUUUCAUCUUGGACCCAAAUUUCACGAAUUAUCUUGUUUCCCUUGACUUUCUUUAUGUCCGAAGAAUCUAUGAAAAUUCCAACGAUAUCUGGAGCAAAAAAUGAAAGUGGUUAACAAUUAUCUAUGCUUUAAAGGUAAAUCAAUGAGUCUACACUACAUAGUAUACUACAUACCAUUUAAGAAGACCUUGUCCUUCUUUUUCAGCAAAGUGUAUUUAGCUUUCCAUGUAUGCGACUUCCCAUGUAUGCGACUUCC
Molecule: long non-coding RNA, 451 nt
Filed under: Aquilegia coerulea
Lineage: Eukaryota; Viridiplantae; Streptophyta; Magnoliopsida; Ranunculales; Ranunculaceae
Description: long non-coding RNA (ACOE_LNC001933)
Source: RNAcentral